Long non-coding RNA from Felis catus (domestic cat), 297 nucleotides. RefSeq lists it as uncharacterized. The record is from RefSeq and is a predicted model, not a curated record. The transcript has 2 exons. Lineage: Eukaryota; Metazoa; Chordata; Mammalia; Carnivora; Felidae.
CAGAUGACUGAGCCACCCAGCCACCCAUUUUCUCAGUGACUUCUUAGAGUUGUUUAUGUUAUGCAUACUAAUAAUUUAUUGGUAAUAUUUAUUGAGCUGACGUUCAAUAUUUCUGGAGAGUCUCCCCAAAUCCAACUGAGACGCCCUCACUGGCCAUUUUAGAUUCUAAACGAGGAAACAACGUACUCCUGUAAGGCCUCUGGAACCUCCUGCUCAGAGGUGUUUGCAGUGUGAUGGUCAACUACAUCUCACAAUGGAUCAGAUUUCUUUUUGUUGAACUCCUAAAUGUUAAGCUUA